UUUAAAUGUAAUUUGUAUUCUAAAUUAGUAUUAGUUAUGUUCUUGAAAAUUAAAGAUUUUGGCGGUAUUUUAGUCUUUUCAGAGGAACCUGUCCUGUAAUCGAUAAUCCACGAUUAAUUAUACUUAUAUUAUUAAUUUGUAUAUCGUCGUAAAUGAAUAUUUUAAAAGAAUUAUAAUAUUCGAUAUUUUUUAUUAGAAAAUAAAUCAGAUCAAGGUGCAGUUUAUAUAUAAGUAGAGAUGGGUUACAAUAAUAAAAAUUAAAUGAAUAAAUAAAUGAAAUUUUAUUUUAAAAGUGGAUUUGAGAGUAAUUUUAAUUAUUUAGUUAAAAUGAUUUUAGCUCUAAAAUAUGC
Molecule: ribosomal RNA, 350 nt
Filed under: Bothrideres sp. CO913
Lineage: Eukaryota; Metazoa; Arthropoda; Insecta; Coleoptera; Bothrideridae
Description: partial 12S ribosomal RNA
Source: RNAcentral